GGGGCGACUGAUAGGCGCCGGCGCACCGGCUGAAAAUUUCGGCCGGUCCCGCGUGGGCCGCACGAUCUAGCUUUUGUAGACCGUAUGAUUCCAUCGUCAACCUUAUAGAAAACGCUGCAGCAAAAAAGCAACGGGAAAAUGAAAGGGGAAAGAGACCAGCGCCCGCUCGUCCUCGGCCGCCGCCGACUCACGCUCGCCGACCUCGCCCGUUUGCCUCGCCGCAGAUGCUCACCGCUGAUGCUUGCCGCCGUCGCUCGCUCGCAACAAAUAAGCCGUUGACCAAAGCAGCCUUUUCUCUUGCCUCCGUGUUGCAUCCAUGGUAGCUCCGCGGCGCCGACCGCAACACCGUCCCUCGCCGGUGCUGCCCACCGCACGUUGCAGCAUCAAUGGUGACGGCGGCAUCGCUUGCAUACAAAGCCGAUGGUAGAAAAAACAAAGGAUUGCUGGUUCCAGCAAAAAUCGAAGCCGGUGGAAGCAAAAUUGGGGCUGGUUCCAGCAAAAAUCGAAGCCGGUGGAAGCAAAAUUGGGGCUGGUUCCAGCAAAAAUCGAAGCCGGUGGAAGCAAAAUUGGGGCUGGUUCCAGCAAAACUCGAAGCCGGUGGAAGCAAAAUUGGGGCUGGUUCCAGCAAAAACAAAAAACAGUGGUAGCAAAAAAAUGCUAGUUCUAUCAAAAAUUGAAAGCGGUGGUAGCAAAAAUUGGGCUGGUCAACAAAAUCAAGAUAGUAGAGUUGCAUCCCUUUUGGGUCAGAGCUGGAACCGGUUAGUGGCAGAGCUACAACCGGCUAUAGGAGAGUUGCAAUCGGCGAGCGGCCGAGCUGGAACGGGCUAGGUGUUCUCCUCCGCAGAUGCGCGUCUUUCCGCUCCGCUACACGGCCGCCUGCUUGUUUGAA
Molecule: ribosomal RNA, 889 nt
Filed under: Triticum aestivum (bread wheat)
Lineage: Eukaryota; Viridiplantae; Streptophyta; Magnoliopsida; Poales; Poaceae
Description: partial small subunit ribosomal RNA
Source: RNAcentral